This 841-nucleotide unclassified non-coding RNA is filed under the name Euplokamis sp. SM-2011c. Its description in RNAcentral is "sequence contains partial 18S rRNA gene and ITS1". The stretch from base 440 to 594 matches the Rfam family "5.8S ribosomal RNA". Lineage: Eukaryota; Metazoa; Ctenophora; Tentaculata; Cydippida; Euplokamidae. The record is from RNAcentral.
CUACUACCGAUUGAAUGGUUUAGUGAGAUCUCGGGAUUGGCGAUGCCUUGCCGCAAGGCACAGUAUCGCCGAAAACUUGCUCAAACUUGAUCAUUUAGAGGAAGUAAAAGUCGUAACAAGGUUUCCGUAGGUGAACCUGCGGAAGGAUCAUUAACGAAUUAAUCAAUCCAACCCCCCUGCCUUAAUUGCGGAUCACCUAGUGCCGUUUUUCGAGGUCGAGAGUCUUCCGUUUAUUCGGAGCACUCUCGUUAAAUCGUCCGUGGGUACGGUCGUACGUAGGGCGUCUCUUAGUUGAGGCGCGGUGCGUGCGGCUCGGCGGGCCUCGAAUGUGUUUUUACCCACGAACCUCAAACCCCUUGACUUUUUACGUAUCCGAUCUGUCGCCGGGGACGUUCCCUUCGGGAGACGCCGCCUGCGCAGAGUCAAUCUAAAAGCGAACAACUUUUAACGGUGGAUCUCUUGGCUCGUGCAUCGAUGAAGAACGCAGCAAACUGCGAUAAGUAAUGUGAAUUGCAGAAUUCAGUGAAUCAUCGAAUCUUUGAACGCAAAUGGCGCUCUUGGGAUCUUCCCAGGAGCACGCCUGUCUGAGCGUCGUUUCUCACGUCCCUACCCCAAGGGGCCUUGAAUCGUCCCGUUGAACACUUCAGUGCUCGACCGGUCAUUUGAAAUGAAGCGAACCCGAGCUGUCCGAAGCGUCCCCGCGACGUGUGCUCCUCGGUGUGGUAGAUUUAUCUAAAACAUUCGAGGGCCGCGUGGUGGGAGCGUCCGAAGGCUAGCAUUCGUGGCCGUAUCUGGCGGUGAACUUACGUUCGCCUACGAUAGACCUCAGAUCAGACGAGAC